UAGGGAAUCCUUGCGCAAUGGGCGAAAGCCUGACGCAGCGACGCCGCGUGAGGGAUGAAGGCCUUUGGGUCGUAAACCUCUGUCGGAGGGGAAGAAAUUUUGACGGUACCCUCCAAGGAAGCCCCGGCUAACUACGUG
RNAcentral lists this ribosomal RNA (138 nucleotides) under uncultured bacterium. RNAcentral describes it as "partial 16S rRNA". It matches the Rfam family "Bacterial small subunit ribosomal RNA", at positions 355 to 507 of the family's 1533-position model. The record is from RNAcentral.